UCCACGCCGUAAACGAUGAUAACUCGUUGUUGGCGAUACACAGUCAGCGACUAAGGGAAACCGAUAAGUUAUCCACCUGGGGAGUACGAUCGCAAGGUUGAAACUCAAAGGAGUUGGACGGGGGCCCGCACAAGCGGUGGAGCAUGUGGUUUAAUUCGAUGCAACGCGAAGAACCUUACCUGGUCUUGACAUGUAGUGAACUUUCCAGAGAUGGAUUGGUGCUUUCGAGAACA
This 233-nucleotide ribosomal RNA is filed under the name uncultured bacterium. RNAcentral describes it as "partial 16S ribosomal RNA". It matches the Rfam family "Bacterial small subunit ribosomal RNA", at positions 794 to 1028 of the family's 1533-position model. The record is from RNAcentral.